This 484-nucleotide ribosomal RNA is filed under the name uncultured bacterium. RNAcentral describes it as "partial 16S ribosomal RNA". It matches the Rfam family "Bacterial small subunit ribosomal RNA", at positions 34 to 507 of the family's 1533-position model. The record is from RNAcentral.
CUUGCCCGCUGGCGGCAUGCUUUACACAUGCAAGUCGAACGGCAGCGCGGGCUUCGGCCUGGCGGCGAGUGGCGAACGGGUGAGUAAUGCAUCGGAACGUGCCCAGUAGUGGGGGAUAGCCCGGCGAAAGCCGGAUUAAUACCGCAUACGACCUGAGGGUGAAAGCGGGGGACCGAAAGGCCUCGCGCUAUUGGAGCGGCCGAUGUCGGAUUAGCUAGUUGGUGGGGUAAAGGCUUACCAAGGCGACGAUCCGUAGCUGGUCUGAGAGGACGACCAGCCACACUGGGACUGAGACACGGCCCAGACUCCUACGGGAGGCAGCAGUGGGGAAUUUUGGACAAUGGGGGCAACCCUGAUCCAGCCAUGCCGCGUGCGGGAAGAAGGCCUUCGGGUUGUAAACCGCUUUUGUUCGGGAAGAAAUCCUCUGGGCUAAUACCCCGGGGGGAUGACGGUACCGGAAGAAUAAGCACCGGCUAACUACGUG